AUGCGCGUCCCGCUGCACCGCUUCUUCAGCGAGGUGCUCGCCCACUUCGGCAUCGCGCCGGCGCAGCUCACGCCGAACGGGUGGCGCACCAUGGCGGGCUUCAUGGUGGCCUGCCGCUCCGCCGGUGUUCCGGCGUUUCUUUGUGAUGUGCAGCCUCUGCCAGGAGCACGAGAAAGGCUGGUACUCAUUCCGGCCCAGGCGGGACAGCUCCGGCUUGCGCUUCAGGGGUUUGCCGAAGCCGGAUGCCAACUCCAUCAAGUGGAAACACGAGUUCUUCUUCCUCUCGUCGCCGGAGCCGUGGCCCUGCGCCAUGGAGUGGCGCGAGCGGUCCAACCGCUCCUCCAGCAACCCGGCUUCGGCAAGUGGUGCUCACUGUUGAGGAAAGCCAGUCGAUGCUGA
RNAcentral lists this ribosomal RNA (399 nucleotides) under Triticum aestivum (bread wheat). Its description in RNAcentral is "partial small subunit ribosomal RNA". Lineage: Eukaryota; Viridiplantae; Streptophyta; Magnoliopsida; Poales; Poaceae. The record is from RNAcentral.